Molecule: ribosomal RNA, 2517 nt
Filed under: Triticum aestivum (bread wheat)
Lineage: Eukaryota; Viridiplantae; Streptophyta; Magnoliopsida; Poales; Poaceae
Description: partial small subunit ribosomal RNA
Source: RNAcentral
AUGGCGCUGCAGAAACUCUUCUAUAUCUCACUUUUCCUGCUAGUAUGCACAGCCAAGGAGAUCAACCCCGAAGCGGAGGCACUACUCCGAUGGAAGUCCAGUUUGAUCCGUGCCAACUCGCUGUCCUCCUGGUCGAUAUCCUAUCCGACAUGUUCUUGGUUUGGGGUCACUUGUGAUGCUUCAGGGCAUGUUACCGAGCUCCGCCUUCCCAUCGCGAGCCUUCAUGGUACGCUACACACCUUAUACUCUCCAGUGCUCCAAAACCUCACUGUGCUUGACCUUGGCACAAAUAACCUUGGUGGUGUUGUCCCAGCAAAUAUCUCUCUAUUUCACACCCUCACCGUUCUGAACUUGAGCAACAACAAUCUUGUUGGUGCCAUCCCCUAUCAACUCAGCAAGCUACCAAUGAUUAUCAAAUUGGAUUUGGGAAAUAACAACCUGACCAACCCAGAAUAUGCCAAUUUCUCACCGAUGUCCACUUUAAAGCUAUUCACUCCAGAGAUUGUCCCAAGGUUGAGGUAUCUAAAUCUGUCCGCUAAUUUAUUCUCUGGCUCCAUACCUUGCUCACUCUCAAGGCUCCAAAAGCUAGAGAUACUAUGUCUCGGGAGAAAUAAUCUCACAGGAGGAAUCCCAGAGGUGUUGGGGAUGAUACCUGGACUCCGAACCCUUAUACUAUACAGUAACCCACUUGGUGGAUCAAUCCCAGCCUCACUCGGGCAGCUUCAGUUGCUGGAGACGCUCGGCAUCGGAAAUGCUAGCUUGGUUUCUACUCUUCCGCCCCAGCUGGGGAACCUUACCAGUCUCAAGAUCAUGGUACUGAACGAGAAUCAUUUAUUCGGAACUUUGCCACCAUCAUUUGCCAGGAUGCAGGAAUUGCAAGAAUUUGUAAUAGAGGAGAACAGUAUCAGUGGUACCAUUCCACAAGAGAUGUUUACAAACUGGACCAAGCUCAAGUACUUUGAUGUAAAUCACAACUUGUUAGCUGGAAGCAUCCCUUCUCAGAUCAGCGAGUGGAAGGAGCUACUGUGUCUCCUCCUCUCCCACAACAACUUUACUGGCUCGAUCCCAGUGGAGCUGGGAAGCAUGCCAAACUUGCAAGCAUUGGACUUGUCGAAUAACCACCUUACUGGAAUUAUGCCAUCAAAUAUCGGUAAUGCAUCAUCUUUGAAACUCCUUGGCGUCAGCUUCAACCAUCUUGAGGGUGAGAUUCCUGCGACCAUCUCCUCGCUGGUAAACCUUGUUGCUCUCUUCUUGUCUGACAACAAGUUUACGGGUAUCGGUCCUAAUCUUGACAGCAAGCAGUUGCCAGUUGUCAAAGUGGCCAAUAAUAGUGGCUUCUUGGGAAAACCAUUGUGUGCCUUUUGCCAACUAACACUUCUGCGAAUCUUGGAUCUAUCGAACAAUCAGUUGUUUGGUGAGCUUCCUGGUUGCUUGUGGAAUUUGAGAGAUCUACAAUUCUUGGAUUUGUCGAGCAAUGCUUUUGCUGGGGUAGUUCCAACCUCAGCUAACUACAAUUCUUCGCUAAGUUUGUUGCACUUGUCCAACAACAAUUUCACAGGUUCCUUUCCAGCAGUGUUGAAGAACUUCAAAAGCCUUGUUAUUUUGGAUCUUGGGAACAAUAAGAUGUCUGGUGCACUCCCUCCGUGGAUAGGAGAAAGCAAUCCUUUGCUGAGGAUUCUUAGACUGCGAUCAAACAUGUUCCAUGGAAGUAUUCCCAGGCAGCUACUAAAACUCUCUCAUCUCCAACUCCUUGAUCUCGCUGAAAAUACUUUUGUAGGUUCUAUAACAGAAAAUUUUAUCAACUUCUCCUCGAUGAGUCAGGCAUCCAUGAUGCAGCCGGUUCCAACAACUUACAUAGAAUUGAGACCCUUCCGAUUUGCUGGUGAUGGCAGCAUAGGUAUACUUUGGAAGAGACGGGAGUACACCUUUGACGAAAGAUAUCUAUUUGUGACUGGCAUUGAUCUCUCCGGCAAUUCUCUCUCUGGUGAAAUCCCUUCAGAGUUGAAAAAUCUUAGAGGCGUCCAGUUACUAAAUAUGUCAAGAAAUAAUCUAUCUGGUGGUAUCCCGAAGGACAUUGGCAAUCUCAAACUGUUAGAAUCCCUUGACCUCUCAUGGAAUAAACUGUCUGGUCCUAUUCCUCCUAGCAUGUCGAACUUGAAGUUCCUGAGCUCUCUUAACCUCUCAAACAACCGUCUAUCAGGCGAGAUACCUACAGGAAGUCAGCUCCAGACACUUGAGGACCCAUCGAUCUAUAGCAAUAACCUCAGACUUUGUGGUCCACCAUUGAGCAUUCCAUGUACAAACAAUUCAGAUACUACGACACCAGCGGAUGGGGCAAAGGAACAUCACCAUGAACUUGAAACAUUAUGGCUCUACUACUCAGUGAUUGCUGGAACUAUUUUCGGUUUUUGGGUAUGGUGUGGAGCACUGUUUUUCUGCAAGAUCUGGAGGUUUGCUUUCUUCAGCUGCGUCGAUGCGCUGCACCAAAAGUUUAUACUGAAGAUGAAGCGCACCUGA